Molecule: small nucleolar RNA, 124 nt
Filed under: Tursiops truncatus (common bottlenose dolphin)
Lineage: Eukaryota; Metazoa; Chordata; Mammalia; Artiodactyla; Delphinidae
Description: Small nucleolar RNA U3 (ENSTTRG00000025241.1)
Rfam family: Small nucleolar RNA U3 (bases 1-74)
About the family: Small nucleolar RNAs (snoRNAs) are involved in the processing and modification of rRNA in the nucleolus.
Source: RNAcentral
AAGACUAUACUUACAGGGAUCAUUUCUAUAGUUUGUUACUAGAGAAGUUUCAGAAACCAUAACUCAAAAAGAGUCAUGUACCACAAUGUUCAUUGCAGCUCUGUUUACAAUAGCCAGGACAUGG